GCGCAGGUGGUGGAACGGCAGACACGCUAGCCUCAGGAGCUAGUGGGCGAAAGCCCUUGCAGGUUCAAAUCCUGUCCUGCGCA
Molecule: transfer RNA, 83 nt
Filed under: Elusimicrobiota bacterium
Lineage: Bacteria; Pseudomonadati; Elusimicrobiota
Description: Elusimicrobia bacterium (rhizosphere metagenome) tRNA-Leu
Rfam family: tRNA
About the family: Transfer RNA (tRNA) molecules are approximately 80 nucleotides in length. Their secondary structure includes four short double-helical elements and three loops (D, anti-codon, and T loops).
Source: RNAcentral